Small nuclear RNA from Pteronotus mesoamericanus, 105 nucleotides. Lineage: Eukaryota; Metazoa; Chordata; Mammalia; Chiroptera; Mormoopidae. The record is from RefSeq and is a predicted model, not a curated record.
GUGCUCGCUUCAGCAGCACGUGGACAAAAAUUGGACGAUAGAGAGUAAUCGGCAUGGCCCCUGCGCAAGGAUGACGGACACAGUCGUGAAGCGUUCCACAUUUUU